Saccostrea cuccullata (small rock oyster) is the source of this 375-nucleotide long non-coding RNA. RefSeq lists it as uncharacterized. NCBI's taxonomy places the organism in Eukaryota, Metazoa, Mollusca, Bivalvia, Ostreida, Ostreidae. The transcript is spliced from 3 exons. The record is from RefSeq and is a predicted model, not a curated record.
AGAGCGAUGCCCUCGAGGACGCGGUUAUGUGAAGACACGGACUGGAUGCUAUGCAGUGUUUCAUCAGAAGUUCACUUGGCCAGAAGCAGCGAUCUUUUGCUUCGUGGAGGGAGCACGUCUUGUUGAAAUUCGAAAUGGAAAAAAGAACAGAGAUGUGGUGGCAUUAGCAAAAAAGCGAAAACUAGCCGGCAAUAUAUGGAUAGCAGCCAAUGAUAUAAUUCAAGAAAAUGUCCUCCGGUUCAUUGGCACCAAUCGAGGUGUGCCUAGAUCUCUUAAGAAGGGGAUAGGCAACAAUAGAAGGAAGAACUGUGUCCAGCUCACCCCUGGCUCAAAGUGGAAGUCCGCUGACUGCAACCAGAAACGGGCUUUUAUAUG